CCGACAGGCGUAGGCGAUGGAUAACGGGUUGAUAUUCCCGUACCCGUGCGCAUGCGUCCAUGGUGAAACGGUUGAGACUAACCAUCCGCUGGCUGUGUGAGUCUUCGGACGAGCGUAGUUGGUGCAUGGGACCUGAUUCCGCGGUAGUCAAGUGAUGGGGUGACGCAGGAGGGUAGCUCUGCCAGUGAGUGGUAGUACUGGUGUAAGCCUGUAGCCCGGUGUGUAGGUAAAUCCGCGCACCAUUGGGGUGAGGGGUGAUGCGUAGCCGUGGUGGUGAAGUGAGUGACCCCAUGCUGCCGAGAAAAGCCUCUAGCGAGUGUGUGCAUGGCCCGUACCCGAAACCGACUCUGG
Molecule: ribosomal RNA, 351 nt
Filed under: Saccharopolyspora erythraea
Lineage: Bacteria; Bacillati; Actinomycetota; Actinomycetes; Pseudonocardiales; Pseudonocardiaceae
Description: bacterial LSU rRNA
Rfam family: Bacterial large subunit ribosomal RNA
Source: RNAcentral